Molecule: ribosomal RNA, 253 nt
Filed under: uncultured bacterium
Lineage: Bacteria
Description: partial 16S ribosomal RNA
Rfam family: Bacterial small subunit ribosomal RNA
Source: RNAcentral
UACGUAGGGGGCUAGCGUUGUCCGGAAUUACUGGGCGUAAAGGGCUCGUAGGCGGCCAACUAAGUCCGACGUGAAAUCCCCAGGCUUAACCUGGGAACUGCGUCUGAUACUGGAUGGCUUGAGUUUGGGAGAGGGAUGCGGAAUUCCAGGUGUAGCGGUGAAAUGCGUAGAUAUCUGGAGGAACACCGGUGGCGAAGGCGGCAUCCUGGACCAACACUGACGCUGAGGAGCGAAAGCCAGGGGAGCAAACGGG